This 406-nucleotide ribosomal RNA is filed under the name uncultured bacterium. RNAcentral's name for it is "partial 16S ribosomal RNA". It matches the Rfam family "Bacterial small subunit ribosomal RNA", at positions 30 to 526 of the family's 1533-position model. The record is from RNAcentral.
AUUGAACGCUGGCGGCAGGCCUAACACAUGCAAGUCGAACGAGUGGCGGACGGGUGCGUAAUGUCUGGGAAACUGCCCGAUGGAGGGGGAUAACUACUGGAAACGGUAGCUAAUACCGCAUACCAUCGGAUGUGCCCAGAUGGGAUUAGCUAGUAGGUGGGGUAACGGCACACCUAGGCGACGAUCCCUAGUUGGUCUGAGAGGAUGACCUGCCAUACUAGAGCUUAUACACGGUCCAGAUUCCGCCGGGAGGAGGAAGUGGGUAAUAUUGCACAAUGGGCACAAGCCUGAUGCAGCCAUGCCGCGUGUAUGAAGAAGGCCGUCGGGUUGGAAAGUACUUUCAGCGAGGAGGCGUUACUCGCAGAAGAAGCACCGGCUAACUCCGUGCCAGCAGCCGCGGUAAUAC